This 447-nucleotide ribosomal RNA is filed under the name uncultured Syntrophomonas sp. RNAcentral's name for it is "bacterial SSU rRNA". It matches the Rfam family "Bacterial small subunit ribosomal RNA", at positions 936 to 1382 of the family's 1533-position model. The record is from RNAcentral. Lineage: Bacteria; Bacillati; Bacillota; Clostridia; Eubacteriales; Syntrophomonadaceae.
AGCAUGUGGUUUAAUUCGAUGCAACGCGAAGAACCUUACCAGGUCUUUGACAUCCCACGAAUUCAUCUGAAAGGAUGGAGUGCCUUCGGGAGCGUGGAGACAGGUGGUGCAUGGUUGUCGUCAGCUCGUGUCGUGAGAUGUUGGGUUAAGUCCCGCAACGAGCGCAACCCUUGCUAUUAGUUGCUAACAGGCAGAGCUGAGCACUCUAAUGGGACUGCCGGUGUUAAACCGGAGGAAGGUGGGAUGACGUCAAGUCCUCAUGGCCUUUAUGCCCAGGGCUACACGCGUGCUACAAUGGGUGGUACAAAGAGAUGCAAUCUCGCAAGAGCAAGCAAACCUCAAAAAGCCAUCCUCAGUUCGGAUUGGAGUCUGCAACUCGACUCCAUGAAGUCGGAAUCGCUAGUAAUCGCGGAUCAGCACGCCGCGGUGAAUACGUUCCCGGGCCUU